RNAcentral lists this ribosomal RNA (535 nucleotides) under Fusarium sp. 5-8. RNAcentral describes it as "eukaryotic LSU rRNA". The stretch from base 167 to 320 matches the Rfam family "5.8S ribosomal RNA". The record is from RNAcentral. Lineage: Eukaryota; Fungi; Ascomycota; Sordariomycetes; Hypocreales; Nectriaceae.
CAGCGGAGGGAUCAUUACCGAGUUUACAACUCCCAAACCCCUGUGAACAUACCUAUACGUUGCCUCGGCGGAUCAGCCCGCGCCCCGUAAAACGGGACGGCCCGCCCGAGGACCCCUAAACUCUGUUUUUAGUGGAACUUCUGAGUAAAACAAACAAAUAAAUCAAAACUUUCAACAACGGAUCUCUUGGUUCUGGCAUCGAUGAAGAACGCAGCAAAAUGCGAUAAGUAAUGUGAAUUGCAGAAUUCAGUGAAUCAUCGAAUCUUUGAACGCACAUUGCGCCCGCCAGUAUUCUGGCGGGCAUGCCUGUUCGAGCGUCAUUUCAACCCUCAAGCUCAGCUUGGUGUUGGGACUCGCGGUAACCCGCGUUCCCCAAAUCGAUUGGCGGUCACGUCGAGCUUCCAUAGCGUAGUAAUCAUACACCUCGUUACUGGUAAUCGUCGCGGCCACGCCGUUAAACCCCAACUUCUGAAUGUUGACCUCGGAUCAGGUAGGAAUACCCGCUGAACUUAAGCAUAUCAAUAAGCGGGAGGAA